UAGGGAAUCUUCCGCAAUGGACGCAAGUCUGACGGAGCAACGCCGCGUGAGUGAAGAAGGAUUUCGGUUCGUAAAACUCUGUUGUUAGAGAAGAACAGCGCAUAGAGUAACUGUUAUGCGUGUGACGGUAUCUAACCAGAAAGCCACGGCUAACUACGUGCCAGCAGCCGCGGUAAUACGUAGGUGGCAAGCGUUGUCCGGAUUUAUUGGGCGUAAAGCGAGCGCAGGCGGUCAAUUAAGUCUGAUGUGAAAGCCCCCGGCUCAACCGGGGAGGGUCCUUGGAAACUGGUUGACUUGAGUGCAGAAGAGGAGAGUGGAAUUCCAUGUGUAGCGGUGAAAUGCGUAGAUAUAUGGAGGAACACCAGUGGCGAAGGCGACUCUCUGGUCUGUAACUGACGCUGAGGCUCGAAAGCGUGGGUAGCAAACAGG
RNAcentral lists this ribosomal RNA (429 nucleotides) under Bacteroidota bacterium. RNAcentral describes it as "Bacteroidetes bacterium partial 16S ribosomal RNA". It matches the Rfam family "Bacterial small subunit ribosomal RNA", at positions 355 to 776 of the family's 1533-position model. The record is from RNAcentral. Lineage: Bacteria; Pseudomonadati; Bacteroidota.